CCCUUAGAUGGUCUGGGCGGCACGCGCGCUACAAUGAUGCAUUCAAAAAGUCUUCUGACCUUAGAAGGUUGGGUAUUCUCCAAAGUGCAUCGUGAUGGGAAUAGUUUAUUGCAAUUUUUAAUCUUGAACGAGGAAUUCCUAGUAAGUACAGGUCAUCAACUUGUGUUGAUUACGUCCCUGCCCUUUGUACACACCGCCCGUCGCUCCUACUGAUUGAGUGUCUCGGUGACUUCUUUGAUCUUCUGUCGAUUCAGUUCACUGAUCCGACGGUGGAAAGUUGAAUGAACUUCGUCACUUAGAGGAAGGAGAAGUCGUAACA
This 319-nucleotide ribosomal RNA is filed under the name uncultured eukaryote. Its description in RNAcentral is "partial 18S ribosomal RNA". It matches the Rfam family "Eukaryotic small subunit ribosomal RNA", at positions 1470 to 1796 of the family's 1831-position model. The record is from RNAcentral.